GAUGAACGCUGGCGGCGUGCCUAAUACAUGCAAGUCGAGCGACCAAACGAGGAGCUUGUUCCUCUGAGGUUAGCGGCGGACGGGUGAGUAACACGUGGAUAACCUCCCUUUAAGCCUGGGAUAACUUCGGGAAACCGAAGCUAAUACCGGAUAAUAAAUUUAACCGCAUGGUUCAAUAUUGAAAGACGGUUUUGCUUUCCUUAAUAAUUGGACCCCCCCGCAUUAGCUAGUUGGUAAGGUAACGGCUUACCAAGGCAACGAAGCGUAGCCGACCUGAGAGGGUGAUCGGCCACACUGGAACGGAGACACGGUCCAGACUCCUACGGGAGGCAGCAGUAGGGAAUCUUCCGCAAUGGGCGAAAGCCUGACGGAGCAACGCCGCGUGAGUGAUGAAGGUCUUCGGAUCGUAAAACUCUGUUAUUAGGGAAGAACAAAUGUGUAAGUAACUAUGCACGUCUUGACGGUACCUAAUCAGAAAGCCACGGCUAACUACGUG
RNAcentral lists this ribosomal RNA (496 nucleotides) under uncultured bacterium. RNAcentral describes it as "partial 16S ribosomal RNA". It matches the Rfam family "Bacterial small subunit ribosomal RNA", at positions 28 to 507 of the family's 1533-position model. The record is from RNAcentral.